Molecule: ribosomal RNA, 119 nt
Filed under: Lepisosteus oculatus (spotted gar)
Lineage: Eukaryota; Metazoa; Chordata; Actinopteri; Semionotiformes; Lepisosteidae
Source: RNAcentral
GCCAGCAGCCAGAUUACCCUGCAACUCACAACUGGCAGCCCACUGAAGCUCAGCGGGUGUGAGCCUGGUCAGUACCUGGAUGGGAGACCUCCUGGGAAAAACUAAGGUUGCUGCUGGAA